AACCAGAACAAACUAAGGAGAAAUUCAAGCACCAGGAUUAGUCCACUCUACUGCAUUUAACAGUGCCCACACCGCGGUGAAUAGAAGAGUUCUGCUCUGCGAAAAAACUUGGUUUUUUUCUUUCAUUUGGGGGAGAGAUUAAUCAGCACUGGACAACAACCCAGUGCCCAGCGCCAGAAGGGAGCUACGGGAUGGCGAACUGCGCUGUUCCCGAAGGGAAGGGAGCUCAGCGUGAAGGCAGAUCUCGUCUAUCCAUUUUAGGGGAAGCAGCAGGAAAAGAAGGUAUUAGUACAGCUGCAGGCAGAGCAGCAACAUCAUGUAUGCAGAUGUCUGAGCUAUUUCUGGUGAUGUAAAAAGAAGACACUGAUAAGGCUGAUUGGAAAACCUCAAGGGAAUAGUAAGAAAUUAAGAUUUGAAGUGGAAGAGUCAAAGUUGUUGGGACUGUUUUACUAUUCACAGAAGAUGACCUGCAUAUUUGUGGUUUCACAAGUACCACCAGUGCUUUAACGGUCAUGCUGUUAUAGUCUGCUAGAAACAUCCAUUCAGACGGGAUACCCAUUCCUGGAAAAGAUAGCGAGUGUCUGGAAUGGAAACGGAUCGCUCCUGGGGAGUCCGCCGCAAACUCAGGCUGCUCCGACUUCGGGUGAUGUCCACGGGCUGCACCCAGAGCGUUUUCCCGAGGCUGGGGAGGGACGGGAGGUCGAGAGGAGCUGCAGCCCUGCUUCAGCACCACGGUGCUGAGUGGAGCCGGCAGGCGGGCGCAGGGCCACUUGAUCCGGCAGGGUCCCUGCUGCUGCCUCUGAUAGAUGUGAAGUGAUCGGAGAGAGGGAAGUGAAGGGGCUACAGACUCAGCAAGACCUAUCGGAGGCUUCACAGCUGCUACAUGAAUUUACGUGGAAGACAGGGGUGCUCUCAGAAUGGGUGAGCUGAUGGACCCUAAUAAAGAUAUGAAUUUGAAAACUGCCAAUCACUGGCUGAAAUCCAGGCUCAUUAUACUCAAUGGCAAAACUUCCCAUGACUUCAGUGGAACAGGUUUAACUAUUGCAGGAAACUAUUUUCCCCUAAAGCACUCGGUAGAAAGCUAUCGCUCUGCUCUAUGGUUUAGUUGAACCACUCUGAGGAAGUUAAUAAAAAACUCUAGAUUUUUGAUUAAAAAUAAAUGAGUAACUAUGGAAGCAAAAUGGUUCCAUUUUGCCUUCAAUCUAUAUAUGACGUAUUUUGGGUAUAAAGCCUUA
Long non-coding RNA from Dromaius novaehollandiae (emu), 1235 nucleotides. RefSeq lists it as uncharacterized. The record is from RefSeq and is a predicted model, not a curated record. The transcript has 5 exons. NCBI's taxonomy places the organism in Eukaryota, Metazoa, Chordata, Aves, Casuariiformes, Dromaiidae.